GGGAAUUUGGCUUAAUGGUAGAGUACUUGCCUAGCAUGCAAGUAUGUGCCUAGCAUGAAGCCUUGGGUUCAAUUUCUC
RNAcentral lists this transfer RNA (78 nucleotides) under Dipodomys ordii (Ord's kangaroo rat). It matches the Rfam family "tRNA". From Rfam's summary of the family: Transfer RNA (tRNA) molecules are approximately 80 nucleotides in length. Their secondary structure includes four short double-helical elements and three loops (D, anti-codon, and T loops). Lineage: Eukaryota; Metazoa; Chordata; Mammalia; Rodentia; Heteromyidae. The record is from Rfam by way of RNAcentral.